This 447-nucleotide ribosomal RNA is filed under the name uncultured bacterium. RNAcentral's name for it is "bacterial SSU rRNA". It matches the Rfam family "Bacterial small subunit ribosomal RNA", at positions 355 to 825 of the family's 1533-position model. The record is from RNAcentral.
UGGGGAAUAUUGGACAAUGGGCGCAAGCCUGAUCCAGCCAUGCCGCGUGAGUGACGAAGGCCUUAGGGUUGUAAAGCUCUUUUGGCGGGGAAGAUAAUGACGGUACCCGCAGAAUAAGCUCCGGCUAACUUCGUGCCAGCAGCCGCGGUAAUACGAAGGGAGCUAGCGUUGUUCGGAAUCACUGGGCGUAAAGCGCACGUAGGUGGGCAGUUAAGUCAGGGGUGAAAGCCCGGGGCUCAACCUCGGAAUUGCCUCUGAUACUGGCUGUCUAGAGUUCGAGAGAGGUGAGUGGAAUUCCUAGUGUAGAGGUGAAAUUCGUAGAUAUUAGGAAGAACACCGGUGGCGAAGGCGGCUCACUGGCUCGAUACUGACACUGAGGUGCGAAAGCGUGGGGAGCAAACAGGAUUAGAUACCCUAGUAGUCCCUGAGCGGGCUGGCAAGGCGCAU